UUGCCCUAGUAACGGCGAGUGAAGCGGCAACAGCUCAAAUUUGAAAUCUGGCUCUUUCAGAGUCCGAGUUGUAAUUUGCAGAGGGCGCUUUGGCGUUGGCAGCGGUCCAAGUUCUUUGGAACAGGACGUCACAGAGGGUGAGAAUCCCGUACGUGGUCGCUAGCCUUCGCCGUGUAAAGCCCCUUCGACGAGUCGAGUUGUUUGGGAAUGCAGCUCUAAAUGGGAGGUAAAUUUCUUCUAAAGCUAAAUACUGGCCAGAGACCGAUAGCGCACAAGUAGAGUGAUCGAAAGAUGAAAAGCACUUUGGAAAGAGAGUCAAAUAGCACGUGAAAUUGUUGAAAGGGAAGCGCUUGCAGCCAGACUUGCCUGUAGUUGCUUAUCUGGACUUUUGUCCGGUGCACUCUUCUGCGGGCAGGCCAGCAUCAGUUUGGGCGGUUGGAUAAAGGUCUCUGUCAUGUACCUCCUCUCGGGGAGGCCUUAUAGGGGAGACGACAUGCAACCAGCCUGGACUGAGGUCCGCGCAUCUGCUAGGAUGCUGGCGUAAUGGCUGUAAGCGGCCCGUCUUGAAACACGGACCAAGGAGUCUAACAUCUAUGCGAGUGUUUGGGUGUCAAGCCCAGACGCGUAAUGAAAGUGAACGGAGGUGGGAACCCUUUGGGUGCACCAUCGACCGAUCCUGAUGUCUUCGGAUGGAUUUGAGUAAGAGCAUGGCUGUUGGGACCCGAAAGAUGGUGAACUAUGCUUGAAUAGGGUGAAGCCAGAGGAAACUCUGGUGGAGGCUCGCAGCGGUUCUGACGUGCAAAUCGAUCGUCAAAUUUGGGCAUAGGGGCGAAAGAC
This 837-nucleotide ribosomal RNA is filed under the name Neosulcatispora strelitziae. Its description in RNAcentral is "eukaryotic LSU rRNA". It matches the Rfam family "Eukaryotic large subunit ribosomal RNA", at positions 75 to 931 of the family's 3401-position model. Lineage: Eukaryota; Fungi; Ascomycota; Dothideomycetes; Pleosporales; Phaeosphaeriaceae. The record is from RNAcentral.